GGUUAAGCGACUAAGCGUACACGGUGGAUGCCCUGGCAGUCAGAGGCGAUGAAGGACGUGCUAAUCUGCGAUAAGCGUCGGUAAGGUGAUAUGAACCGUUAUAACCGGCGAUUUCCGAAUGGGGAAACCCAGUGUGAUUCGUCACACUAUCAUUAACUGAAUCCAUAGGUUAAUGAGGCGAACCGGGGGAACUGAAACAUCUAAGUACCCCGAGGAAAAGAAAUCAACCGAGAUUCCCCCAGUAGCGGCGAGCGAACGGGGAGCAGCCCAGAGCCUGAAUCAGUGUGUGUGUUAGUGGAAGCGUCUGGAAAGGCGCGCGAUACAGGGUGACAGCCCCGUACACAAAAAUGCACAUACUGUGAGCUCGAUGAGUAGGGCGGGACACGUGGUAUCCUGUCUGAAUAUGGGGGGACCAUCCUCCAAGGCUAAAUACUCCUGACUGACCGAUAGUGAACCAGUACCGUGAGGGAAAGGCGAAAAGAACCCCGGCGAGGGGAGUGAAAAAGAACCUGAAACCGUGUACGUACAAGCAGUGGGAGCACAGAGCAAUCUGUGUGACUGCGUACCUUUUGUAUAAUGGGUCAGCGACUUAUAUUCUGUAGCAAGGUUAACCGAAUAGGGGAGCCGAAGGGAAACCGAGUCUUAACUGGGCGUUAAGUUGCAGGGUAUAGACCCGAAACCCGGUGAUCUAGCCAUGGGCAGGUUGAAGGUUGGGUAACACUAACUGGAGGACCGAACCGACUAAUGUUGAAAAAUUAGCGGAUGACUUGUGGCUGGGGGUGAAAGGCCAAUCAAACCGGGAGAUAGCUGGUUCUCCCCGAAAGCUAUUUAGGUAGCGCCUCGUGAAUUCAUCUCCGGGGGUAGAGCACUGUUUCGGCAAGGGGGUCAUCCCGACUUACCAACCCGAUGCAAACUGCGAAUACCGGAGAAUGUUAUCACGGGAGACACACGGCGGGUGCUAACGUCCGUCGUGAAGAGGGAAACAACCCAGACCGCCAGCUAAGGUCCCAAAGUCAUGGUUAAGUGGGAAACGAUGUGGGAAGGCCCAGACAGCCAGGAUGUUGGCUUAGAAGCAGCCAUCAUUUAAAGAAAGCGUAAUAGCUCACUGGUCGAGUCGGCCUGCGCGGAAGAUGUAACGGGGCUAAACCAUGCACCGAAGCUGCGGCAGCGACGCUGAUGCGUUGUUGGGUAGGGGAGCGUUCUGUAAGCCUGUGAAGGUGUACUGUGAGGUAUGCUGGAGGUAUCAGAAGUGCGAAUGCUGACAUAAGUAACGAUAAAGCGGGUGAAAAGCCCGCUCGCCGGAAGACCAAGGGUUCCUGUCCAACGUUAAUCGGGGCAGGGUGAGUCGACCCCUAAGGCGAGGCCGAAAGGCGUAGUCGAUGGGAAACAGGUUAAUAUUCCUGUACUUGGUGUUACUGCGAAGGGGGGACGGAGAAGGCUAUGUUGGCCGGGCGACGGUUGUCCCGGUUUAAGCGUGUAGGCUGGUUUUCCAGGCAAAUCCGGAAAAUCAAGGCUGAGGCGUGAUGACGAGGCACUACGGUGCUGAAGCAACAAAUGCCCUGCUUCCAGGAAAAGCCUCUAAGCAUCAGGUAACAUCAAAUCGUACCCCAAACCGACACAGGUGGUCAGGUAGAGAAUACCAAGGCGCUUGAGAGAACUCGGGUGAAGGAACUAGGCAAAAUGGUGCCGUAACUUCGGGAGAAGGCACGCUGAUAUGUAGGUGAAGUCCCUCGCGGAUGGAGCUGAAAUCAGUCGAAGAUACCAGCUGGCUGCAACUGUUUAUUAAAAACACAGCACUGUGCAAACACGAAAGUGGACGUAUACGGUGUGACGCCUGCCCGGUGCCGGAAGGUUAAUUGAUGGGGUUAGCGCAAGCGAAGCUCUUGAUCGAAGCCCCGGUAAACGGCGGCCGUAACUAUAACGGUCCUAAGGUAGCGAAAUUCCUUGUCGGGUAAGUUCCGACCUGCACGAAUGGCGUAAUGAUGGCCAGGCUGUCUCCACCCGAGACUCAGUGAAAUUGAACUCGCUGUGAAGAUGCAGUGUACCCGCGGCAAGACGGAAAGACCCCGUGAACCUUUACUAUAGCUUGACACUGAACAUUGAGCCUUGAUGUGUAGGAUAGGUGGGAGGCUUUGAAGUGUGGACGCCAGUCUGCAUGGAGCCGACCUUGAAAUACCACCCUUUAAUGUUUGAUGUUCUAACGUUGACCCGUAAUCCGGGUUGCGGACAGUGUCUGGUGGGUAGUUUGACUGGGGCGGUCUCCUCCUAAAGAGUAACGGAGGAGCACGAAGGUUGGCUAAUCCUGGUCGGACAUCAGGAGGUUAGUGCAAUGGCAUAAGCCAGCUUGACUGCGAGCGUGACGGCGCGAGCAGGUGCGAAAGCAGGUCAUAGUGAUCCGGUGGUUCUGAAUGGAAGGGCCAUCGCUCAACGGAUAAAAGGUACUCCGGGGAUAACAGGCUGAUACCGCCCAAGAGUUCAUAUCGACGGCGGUGUUUGGCACCUCGAUGUCGGCUCAUCACAUCCUGGGGCUGAAGUAGGUCCCAAGGGUAUGGCUGUUCGCCAUUUAAAGUGGUACGCGAGCUGGGUUUAGAACGUCGUGAGACAGUUCGGUCCCUAUCUGCCGUGGGCGCUGGAGAACUGAGGGGGGCUGCUCCUAGUACGAGAGGACCGGAGUGGACGCAUCACUGGUGUUCGGGUUGUCAUGCCAAUGGCACUGCCCGGUAGCUAAAUGCGGAAGAGAUAAGUGCUGAAAGCAUCUAAGCACGAAACUUGCCCCGAGAUGAGUUCUCCCUGACCCUUUAAGGGUCCUGAAGGAACGUUGAAGACGACGACGUUGAUAGGCCGGGUGUGUAAGCGCAGCGAUGCGUUGAGCUAACCGGUACUAAUGAACCGUGAGGCUUAACCUU
Molecule: ribosomal RNA, 2906 nt
Filed under: Escherichia coli
Lineage: Bacteria; Pseudomonadati; Pseudomonadota; Gammaproteobacteria; Enterobacterales; Enterobacteriaceae
Also listed under: 1 other name
Description: 23S ribosomal RNA
Rfam family: Bacterial large subunit ribosomal RNA
Source: RNAcentral